Long non-coding RNA from Passer domesticus (house sparrow), 473 nucleotides. RefSeq lists it as uncharacterized. Lineage: Eukaryota; Metazoa; Chordata; Aves; Passeriformes; Passeridae. The record is from RefSeq and is a predicted model, not a curated record. The transcript is spliced from 2 exons.
CCAGCUGAACUGGUCAAGGCCAAUACUAUUUCUUGGAAGCAGCUGAGUGGGUGAGUCUUUCUUUAGCUGAAGAGGAAGAAGAAGACACACAUCUGCUCUGCAAGGUUACAAGAACUUCAUCUGGACUUCAGCUGGGGUUAUGUGAGACAAGAAGGUUGUCACAAACAAAGAUAUCUCUGUCAAUAGAAGAGAAGUGGGAUUCCACCAAGCUAGGAGAAAGGAAAGUGUAUUGUGGGAACAAAGAACUUUACAUAUUAAUUCAGAAGCAGCACAUGAGAAGGAAGACAGAAUCUCCUCAGACAGUCUAGAACUGGAAGAACUGUGCUAGAGAAACAAGUUCAAAGAUCAAGUGUGGUUGUUAAGAAGUAUCAGUGAAGAAGAUGAUUUUGCUAAUGUCAGUUCAAAUUUGGUGACCAAAGCCAAUGAAAAUUCUAAAAUUACUAGGAAAAAAUAAAGAGGGAAAAUGAGAUAAA